This is a long non-coding RNA of Apis cerana (Asiatic honeybee), 394 nucleotides long. RefSeq lists it as uncharacterized. The record is from RefSeq and is a predicted model, not a curated record. Lineage: Eukaryota; Metazoa; Arthropoda; Insecta; Hymenoptera; Apidae.
GACGCGAAUGUCCUCCGGAAUCGUCUCCGUGACGCGUUUGAAAUUUAUCAGUUUAUGGCGCCAUUUUUUUGCGUACUUAUAUUUUAAAACGAAAGUCCAAAGUGAUUAACAUCACUAUUUAAAUUUUUCAAGGAAAGAGAUUCUCAUGUUCUCAACCUUGUACAAAUAUUUUCAAGGUCAAUACUGGGAAUACUUGGAAGGAUGAUCGAGUCGAUUCAAGCUCCAACGAUUUCACAACAAGAAGUCUUUUUCUCAUUCUCAUGGAUUCAUUCUAUAGUCUGGGUCAAGAUCAUGUUUUCUUCCACUAUUCAUUUUACAAUUAUUAUAUCAGUUUUUAAUCAUGUAACGUUUCUUAUAAAUUAUAAUUUAUAAUACCUACAAGUAUACUUAAAAA